Long non-coding RNA from Lynx canadensis (Canada lynx), 468 nucleotides. The record is from Ensembl. NCBI's taxonomy places the organism in Eukaryota, Metazoa, Chordata, Mammalia, Carnivora, Felidae.
AAGUUUUCUGACCUUUUGGGGUAUUGGGAAUCUGCUGAACACUGUGGAUAUUUCACUUCUCACAGAUUUUGACACAGAACUUCUGUGAACCAGCCUCUUGAAUCCCUACCGUGGACUCCGGCACGCAAAUUGCCAGGGAGGACAAACUGGCUCUCCCCCAUCUCCACUCCAGGCCCUGGCUACUGGAGCAGUUCAUCACGGCUGGUGCCAUGCUCUAGGCCGCGGCUGUGACUCACGUCAACCGCCUCCUCUCCCGUGACCCACAGGUGUCACACGAAGGGAGAUGGCCUGCGGGACCGUGCUGCAGAAAUUGCCUGCCGGCAGGUGAGCAUCUCAGGUAACAUCUCCUCCAUAUAAGCUUCCCAGGUCCACCUCUUGAAAGGCUUUGAGCCGUGCAAAACCUCAGUGCCCCCCGUGCAUCAACACCUCCAGAAACUGACCCCAAGUGUGCUCCAAGAUGGGGCGUCA